RNAcentral lists this long non-coding RNA (444 nucleotides) under Homo sapiens (human). RNAcentral describes it as "non-protein coding lnc-ID3-1:1". Lineage: Eukaryota; Metazoa; Chordata; Mammalia; Primates; Hominidae. The record is from RNAcentral.
AGCGGAGUCGCUGACCCCACUCCUCUCCCGCUGCCCCCAGCUGCGCUCGGGCCGCUGCAGCCUCUGCGCACCCCCACCCGCUUCCUGCCCCGUCCGCGAGGCCGCCCUGGAUCGCACCCGGUUCCUUCCUUCCUUCGUUCUUUCAGGCAACUCGCAUUCCUCGAGCGCCUGCGACGUGCCCUGCACAGGGCCUUCCCGGCCUUCCGAGUGUGGCCCCAGGCCCGCUGGGCUCCUCCGGGAAGCCUCUGCCCUCUCGAAGUCCUUCCCCACCUCCGCCCCUCUGUUCCAUGAGCUGUUUUGAAACUUCAUGCAAACCGGUGGGUGCUGCAGAAUUGGCCUCUUCCAGCCACAGCAGUAAUCCUGUUACGUUCUCUCUGUGAGUCUGGGAAACAUACAGACACUGGUUGAAACUUCAGCUUUGUCAUUUACCAGCUGUGCUAUCAC